GAUGAACGCUGGCGGCGUGCCUAAUACAUGCCAGUCGAGCGAACGGACGAGAAGCUUGCUUCUCUGAUGUUAGCGGCGGACGGGUGAGUAACACGUGGAUAACCUACCUAUAAGACUGGGAUAACUUCGGGAAACCGGAGCUAAUACCGGAUAAUAUUUUGAACCGCAUGGUUCAAAAGUGAAAGACGGUCUUGCUGUCACUUAUAGAUGGAUCCGCGCUGCAUUAGCUAGUUGGUAAGGUAACGGGUUACCAAGGCAACGAUGCAUAGCCGACCUGAGAGGGUGAUCGGCCACACUGGAACGGAGACACGGUCCAGACUCCUACGGGAGGCAGCAGUAGGGAAUCUUCCGCAAUGGGCGAAAGCCUGACGGAGCAACGCCGCGUGAGUGAUGAAGGUCUUCGGAUCGUAAAACUCUGUUAUUAGGGAAGAACAUAUGUGUAAGUAACUGUGCACAUCUUGACGGUACCUAAUCAGAAAGCCCCGGCUAACUACGUG
This 497-nucleotide ribosomal RNA is filed under the name uncultured bacterium. Its description in RNAcentral is "partial 16S ribosomal RNA". It matches the Rfam family "Bacterial small subunit ribosomal RNA", at positions 28 to 507 of the family's 1533-position model. The record is from RNAcentral.